Molecule: ribosomal RNA, 694 nt
Filed under: uncultured bacterium
Lineage: Bacteria
Description: bacterial SSU rRNA
Rfam family: Bacterial small subunit ribosomal RNA
Source: RNAcentral
CCAUANUUCGCUUUGGAAACUGUCAAACUUGAGUGCAGAAGGGGAGAGUGGAAUUCCAUGUGUAGCGGUGAAAUGCGUAGAUAUAUGGAGGAACACCGGUGGCGAAAGCGGCUCUCUGGUCUGUAACUGACGCUGAGGCUCGAAAGCGUGGGGAGCGAACAGGAUUAGAUACCCUGGUAGUNCACGCCGUAAACGAUGAGUGCUAGGUGUUGGAUCCUUUCCGGGAUUCAGUGCCGCAGCUAACGCAUUAAGCACUCCGCCUGGGGGGUACGACCGCAAGGUUGAAACUCAAAGGAAUUGACGGGGGCCCGCACAAGCGGUGGAGCAUGUGGUUUAAUUCGAAGCAACGCGAAGAACCUUACCAGGUCUUGACAUCCCGAUGCUAUUUCUAGAGAUAGAAAGUUACUUCGGUACAUCGGUGACAGGUGGUGCAUGGUUGUCGUCAGCUCGUGUCGUGAGAUGUUGGGCUAANNNNNNNNNCGAGCGCAACCCCUAUUGUUAGUUGCCAUCAUUCAGUUGGGCACUCUAGCGAGACUGCCGGUAAUAAACCGGAGGAAGGUGGGGAUGACGUCAAAUCAUCAUGCCCCUUAUGACCUGGGCUACACACGUGCUACAAUGGUUGGUACAACGAGUUGCGAGUCGGUGACGGCAAGCUAAUCUCUUAAAGCCAAUCUCAGUUCGGAUUGUAGGCUGC